RNAcentral lists this small RNA (28 nucleotides) under Bombyx mori (domestic silkworm). Its description in RNAcentral is "ovarian small RNA-25295". The record is from RNAcentral. Lineage: Eukaryota; Metazoa; Arthropoda; Insecta; Lepidoptera; Bombycidae.
UCACGGCAGAAAUAGGCGGGGUGGUGGU